CCUACGGGCGGCAGCAGUGAGGAAUAUUGGUCAAUGGACGAGAGUCUGAACCAGCCAAGUAGCGUGAAGGAUGACUGCCCUAUGGGUUGUAAACUUCUUUUAUCUGGGAAUAAAACGUUCCACGUGUGGGAUUUUGUAUGUACCAUAUGAAUAAGGAUCGGCUAACUCCGUGCCAGCAGCCGCGGUAAUACGGAGGAUCCGAGCGUUAUCCGGAUUUAUUGGGUUUAAAGGGAGCGUAGGUGGAUUGUUAAGUCAGUUGUGAAAGUUUGCGGAUCAACCGUAAAAUUGCAGUUGAAACUGGCAGUCUUGAGUACAGUAGAGGUGGGCGGAAUUCGUGGUGUAGCGGUGAAAUGCUUAGAUAUCACGAAGAACUCCGAUUGCGAAGGCAGUUCACUGGACUGCAACUGACACUGAGGCUCGAAAGUGUGGGUAUCAAACAGGAUUAGAUACCCUUGUAGUC
RNAcentral lists this ribosomal RNA (460 nucleotides) under uncultured bacterium. Its description in RNAcentral is "partial 16S ribosomal RNA". It matches the Rfam family "Bacterial small subunit ribosomal RNA", at positions 338 to 795 of the family's 1533-position model. The record is from RNAcentral.